This is a long non-coding RNA of Bombina bombina (fire-bellied toad), 437 nucleotides long. RefSeq lists it as uncharacterized. The transcript is spliced from 3 exons. NCBI's taxonomy places the organism in Eukaryota, Metazoa, Chordata, Amphibia, Anura, Bombinatoridae. The record is from RefSeq and is a predicted model, not a curated record.
CCGGGUCACAUAGUGUGGGGCCCCACUCUCUUAGUCUAAUUAGCGGAACCAAAGCGUACAAGUCCGGAAGGCGGAGGGAUGGAAAUGGAGAGAACAGGGCGCCAUGUUGGACAAGGGAAAGAGUGACCUAAGGAAACAACAAACGCAGAGCAGCAUUCCAGGGAACGGUAAACUGGGGAUUUGGAACAUCACCCUGCCUAGUUCCUGUAUCCAUACAGUGACCUGAGGGAACAGCAAAAGUGAAGCAGCAGACCAGGGAACAGUCAGCUGGGGACUGGGAGCAUCAGCCUACCUACAGGUAAAAUCUGUACAGAUAAAAUUCCAUAGUGCACCCUCCAAAAGAUUGAAUGCAAGUAAACCUUUUAAACAAAGAAAUGCCUGGUUCCUAGGUGAAGAAAAGAAAAAAAGAAGAUAAAAAGACCUUUUGUCAAGUUUGU